Molecule: ribosomal RNA, 849 nt
Filed under: Triticum aestivum (bread wheat)
Lineage: Eukaryota; Viridiplantae; Streptophyta; Magnoliopsida; Poales; Poaceae
Description: partial small subunit ribosomal RNA
Source: RNAcentral
AUGUCGUUCUCUCCGCCGCCAUGUCCGGCCCCUUCUCCUCCGCCAUGUCCGGCCCCUUCUCCGCCGCCAUGUCCGGCCUCUUCCCCGCCGCCAUUAUCGAUCAUCUCUUCGCCUUGCCCCGUGUCAUCAUUGCCUACCUCGUCGGCAUCCUCAACAUCGUCAUCCUCAUCUUCAAUUAUCCACCGAGUAUACAGCAGCGCGCUUUGCGGUAAGGUGCUACUGCUAACUGGGACAAAAAAUUGUGGCAAUUUGAAACUUACCAGCAGCGAUCUCGAGGAAACCGCGCUACUACUACUGUGCUUCCUCGGAUCUCAGCUGCUGCUGGGAUUGGGCAUUCUUCUCCAACUAAACGACUUUAGCCAUGUUCUUGGGGCGUCAUCUCUUCUUUUGGUCUUCUCUUAUCCCUUGAUGAAGAGGUUCACAUCUUGGGUAUCUCUGUUAGGAUGGGCUGCUAUCAAAGGGAGCCUAGAUCCUGCUGUCAUCCUCCCAUUGUAUAGUGCUGGUAUAUGUUGGACAUUGGUGUACGAUACCAUAUAUGCACAUCAGGACAAAGAAGAUGACCUCAAAGUAGGAGUUAAGUCCACAGCAUUAAGGUUUGGAGAUUCGACCAAGCAAUGGAUCAGUGCCUUCGGUGCUGCAUCGAUUGGCAGCUUUGCACUCAGUGGCUACAAUGCUGAACUUGCAUGGCCGUACUACCCUCUUCUGACAGCCGCAGCUGCACAGUUGGCAUGGCAGAUUUCAACCGUCGACUUGUCUGACCGCUCAGACUGCAACAGGAAAUUUGUGUCAAACAAGUGGUUUGGAGCUCUGGUAUUCUGGGGAAUUGUUUUUGGGCGACUCGCAUCGUGA